AACCUAGCACACCUGCGGUGUGUACCUGCGGAGGGAUCAUUACCGAGUUUGCUUUUCUAGCUCGAAACCCACUGUGAACAUACCUCUCAUUCGUUGCUUCGGCGGCGGUUCUCUCUAGACUUUCCUCCUUUGGAGGGGUGUCUCCUGGGUCCAACCGUCGGAGGGACGCAAACCAAAACUCUUUUAACUUACUUCUCGAGUAUUAAUCUGAGUCGAUAUUUUUUAAAUUAUCAAAACUUU
This 240-nucleotide unclassified non-coding RNA is filed under the name soil metagenome. Its description in RNAcentral is "partial contains 5.8S ribosomal RNA, internal transcribed spacer 2, and large subunit ribosomal RNA". The record is from RNAcentral.